GAAUCUUCCACAAUGGGCGAAAGCCUGAUGGAGCAACGCCGCGUGAGUGAAGAAGGUUUUCGGAUCGUAAAACUCUGUUGUAAGGGAAGAACAAGUACAGUAGUAACUGGCUGUACCUUGACGGUACCUUCUUAGAAAGCCACGGCUACCUACGUGCCAGCAGCCGCGGUAAUAUGUAGGUGGCAAGCGUUGUCCGGAAUUAUUGGGCGUAAAGGGCGCGCAGGCGGUCCUUUAGGUCUGAUGUGAAAGCCCACAGCUCAACCGUGGAGGGUCAUUGGAAACUGGGGGACUUGAGUGCAGAAGAGGAAAGUGGAAUUCCAAGUGUAGCGGUGAAAUGCGUAGAGAUUUGGAGGAACACCAGUGGCGAAGGCGACUGUCUGGUCUGUAACUGACGCUGAGGCGCGAAAGCGUGGGGAGCAAACAGG
Molecule: ribosomal RNA, 425 nt
Filed under: uncultured bacterium
Lineage: Bacteria
Description: bacterial SSU rRNA
Rfam family: Bacterial small subunit ribosomal RNA
Source: RNAcentral